This 445-nucleotide ribosomal RNA is filed under the name uncultured bacterium. RNAcentral describes it as "partial 16S ribosomal RNA". It matches the Rfam family "Bacterial small subunit ribosomal RNA", at positions 354 to 796 of the family's 1533-position model. The record is from RNAcentral.
GUGAGGAAUAUUGGUCAAUGGGCGGGAGCCUGAACCAGCCAAGUCGCGUGAAGGAAGAAGAAUCUAUGGUUCGUAAACUUCUUUUGCAGGGGAAUAAAGUGCAGAACGUGUCCUGUUUUGUAUGUACCCUGAGAAUAAGGAUCGGCUAACUCCGUGCCAGCAGCCGCGGUAAUACGGAGGAUCCGAGCGUUAUCCGGAUUUAUUGGGUUUAAAGGGUGCGUAGGUGGUUUGAUAAGUCAGCGGUGAAAGUUUGCAGCUUAACUGUAAAAAUGCCGUUGAAACUGUCGGACUUGAGUGUAAAUGAGGUAGGCGGAAUGCGUGGUGUAGCGGUGAAAUGCAUAGAUAUCACGCAGAACUCCGAUUGCGAAGGCAGCUUACUAAGCUACAACUGACACUGAAGCACGAAAGCGUGGGGAUCAAACAGGAUUAGAAACCCCAGUAGUCC